GUGUUUCCUUUGGCAGCACAUAUAUGAACACUGGAAUGUUACAGAGAUUACUGUGGCCCCUGAGCAAGGAUGACAUUGCAAAUUCUAUGUGUUUCAGAUUAAA
Molecule: small nuclear RNA, 103 nt
Filed under: Cebus imitator (Panamanian white-faced capuchin)
Lineage: Eukaryota; Metazoa; Chordata; Mammalia; Primates; Cebidae
Source: RNAcentral